GGCCCGUUAGCUCAGUUGGUCAGAGCGUCGUGCUAAUAACGCGAAGGUCGUGUUUUCGAUUCCCCCACGGGCUA
RNAcentral lists this transfer RNA (74 nucleotides) under Dryococelus australis. RNAcentral's name for it is "tRNA-OTHER". Lineage: Eukaryota; Metazoa; Arthropoda; Insecta; Phasmatodea; Phasmatidae. The record is from RNAcentral.